This 6570-nucleotide long non-coding RNA is filed under the name Setaria italica (foxtail millet). Its description in RNAcentral is "long non-coding RNA (SITA_LNC005226)". The record is from RNAcentral. Lineage: Eukaryota; Viridiplantae; Streptophyta; Magnoliopsida; Poales; Poaceae.
CCCCAUCUCCCCUGCCUUGUGUUUCCCCUCCUCCUCUGGGUCAACCCUCUGGUCUGGUGCCGUGUGCAUCGCCCGUGGCCGCCGGCGUCCACGGUGACGUGAUCUUGUGGCCUGAUUUCCUCAGAAAGGCGCUGCUCUGUUUUGCGCGCAAUUCUGAAGCUUUCCAGGCAGGGCAGGGGCGCACGUUUGACCACCGCGGUUCUUGCCUCGCAGGCGCGCUCAAGAGGCUGCCGCUAGCUCUGCUCGUGUUCUUCGCGGCGCUGCUGUACAGCCAGAUCCAGCCGCCGCCGUCGAAGGUCCCCGGCGCGCCGGGCGGGCCUCCGGUGACCGCGCCCAGAACGAGGCUCAGGGACGGCAGGCACCUGGCGUACCUGGAAUCCGGCGUCCCCAAGGAGGAGGCCAGGUACAAGAUCAUCUUUGUCCACGGCUUCGAUUGCUGCAGAUACGACGUGCUGAACGUCUCCCAGGUGCACAGAUACGAGCGGUUUCUCUUGUCAACCGAUAAAUUACUCUGGAAAACCUUUUGCUUCUUUUGACACAGCAGCAAUCCGCUUUUACCUGCUUUUUGAGAAAGGCGUUUUGAUUUUGUGAUGACGAGCUGUUGGGAAUUGGUGCAGGGGCUGUUGCAGGAGCUGGGCAUCUACCUGCUGUCGUUCGACCGGCCCGGGUACGCCGAGAGCGACGCCCACCCGGCCCGGACGGAGAAGAGCAUCGCCCUCGACAUUGCGGAGCUCGCCGACAACCUCCAGCUCGGCCCCAAGUUCCAUCUCAUCGGCUUCUCCAUGGGCGGCGAGAUCAUGUGGAGCUGCCUCAAAUACAUCCCUCACAGGUGGAUCGAUCAUACUGGCCAACACUCUAAUUCAUCAUGCGGUCUGCGUUCUUCAGACUUGCAGUACUGAUCGAUCAUUUUGCACCAUGAAAUCGCCCGACCAGGCUCGCCGGCGUAGCGAUCCUCGCCCCGGUCGGCAACUACUGGUGGUCCGGCUUCCCGGCGGACGUGGUCGAGGAGGCCUGGUACGUGCAGUUCCCGCAGGACCAGCGCGCAGUCUGGGUCGCCCACCACCUGCCGUGGCUGACGCACUGGUGGAACACCCAGAACCUAUUCCACAGCUCCAGCGUCAAGGGCAAGAACCCUAUCAUCUUGUCCAAGGAAGACACGGCUCUGUCUCAAAAGUUCUUGGACCGAACCUACAAGGCAAGACGAUCGAACAGCCAGCAUCGCAUGGCUUGAGCCUCGGGCCAUGAUCGAUCCAUCUCUGACUCGGAUCGUGCUCUGGUUCUUGCAGGAGCAGGUCCGGCAGCUGGGGGAGCACGACUCCCUGCACCGCGACAUGAUGGUCGGGUUCGGGAAGUGGGGCUGGAGCCCCCUGGAGAUGGAGAACCCGUUCGCCGGCGCCGGGGACGAGGUGAAGGUGCACCUGUGGCACGGCGUCGAGGACCUCUUCGUGCCGGUUCAACUGUCGCGGUACAUCAGCAAAAAGCUCCCCUGGGUCAUCUACCAUGAGCUCCCGACGGCCGGCCACCUGUUCCCGGCCGCCGACGGGAUGCCGGACGUUAUCGUCAGGUCGCUGCUGCUCGGAGAUGAGUGAUCGGUACUUUUCUUUUCUUUUCUUUUUUUAUGAGCGGUCAAUAUUAGUGAUGCAGCUGCAGGACGACGUGUACUCGCCUUCUGCACCGUUGUACAGCUCGAUCGCUCGUACAAAAAUUAUGGCAUGAGUUGAUGACUUCAGUAAUAAGGCUUGUUUAGUUGCUAAAAUUGGGAGUGCUAAAAUUACUGUGCCGGCACUGUAGCACACUGUAGCGUUUCGUUUGUAUUUGUGAAUUAUUAUCCAAACAUUGACUAAUUAGGCUCAAAAGAUUUGUCUCGCAAAGUACAACAAAACUGUGCAAUUAGUUUUUAAUUUCAUCUACAUAAAUGUACUCCAUGCAUGUACCGUAAGUUUGAUAUGAUGGGAAAUCUUCUUUUUGCAUAGUGUCAAAGUUAUGAGUUGGAGGUGAGGUAAACAAGGGCUAAUAAUGUUGCAGAUGAGAUUCGCUUAAGCUGUUUAACUACGCAAUGGAAUUUCUGUAUUGUUGUUAUUUGGUGGUUUCGCUACGACGAGUUAGCUUGGCGAUAUAUUGACAAAACAUAAUAUUUGCAGUCACUGUCCAAUCAACAAGGGUGCAGUUUGACCAUUUUUUUCAACGGAUUAAAAAGAAAGGUUGUGGAGUGCAUCACAUAUAUGGCUAUUGCGAUGCCUAAUGAUUUUUAUUAGAGUGUCACUGUCCAAUUAAUGCUAAUGUCUCUUUCAAAAGCAUGAUUCUCAGAAAUAUAAGAAUAGGAAAAAUAUAAAAUUGGGGUGCGCCCGCAAAUGAAAUACUACAUAAAUUUAUAGCACAGAAAAAAGAUACAAAACAUUUAUUUGGAUGGACCACGCUAUCCCGCGACAGGUGCCACUCCACUGCUUUGGAGCAUCAUACGGUACUUAAACGUUGCUAUUUAUAGAAGGGGUAAACAUAAAUCGUUAUUCAACUCCUCUACAAAAAUUAUAAUAUUUUAAUUAGCUGGCAUGAUUGGAGAAAAAAAUUCAUGUACCGUCCCUUCCAGAUGAGGGAAGUGAUAUGUUAGUUACGGGGAAUGCUAGUAUAUUUUUUUUAAAUGAGCAUAACUCACUCAUCAAGUGUCCAUUUUUAAUUCCGUUUGCGCCAUUGUGUUUCUAGUGAUGAGAUCUACAAAACAAGAUCCAUAUCCAAUAUGUUUUGAUGCUGUUUUAUAUGACUGGCAACUUAUGGACAAACUGUGUAGCAACUUAUAAACAAAAUGCUGUGUAGCAACUUAUAAACAAAAUAGUGGUAUUAUCAGUCAACUUAUAUGGAGGAUAUGCAUCAAUUUACGAAGAGACUAUGUAUCAACAUAUACAACAACAUUUUGUCGACUUAUUUAUACAUGUACUAUUACCUUAAAUAGAACCGUAUAAACAUUACUUAAGUACAAAUAGUGAUACUUUGGCUAACAACGAAUACAACAGCAUUAUAUCAACUUAUGUGUAGUUGUGCUAACAGCAUAAGUUGCUACACACCUUUUACAGAAGUAGCCACUACAUGUACAACAUAAAUUGCCGGUCCAAAAAAAUAUUUCAAAAUAUAUGCAUGAUGGAUCUACACUCCAUAUGAAAGUUAUAGUAUUUUUAAAGAGCUGAAACAACUAUUGCAAAUUACGUCAUUUAAAUUUCAGGUUGCAACGGAACGUUCCCCUUUAGGUUGGUCCGGCGCUCACUGGUGAAGAUGCACCCACGCUCGCCGAGGAUGAAGACCCCGGGCCCGCUGGUGAAGGCGACCACGGGCGCCUCCAAAUCAGGCACCCCGUCACCAGUCGUGUCGUCACCUUCGCCUUAAGUUGCCGGGAUGAGAGGAGAGGAGGAGUCGAGUGGGAACAAGAGAGAGGAGAGCGGAGGAGUCGCGAGUGUAAGUGACGCGUCGGGAGAGGAGAGGCAAGGUGGCCGGGAAACCCCCGCUAAUAUACCGACGGGAGGUAACCCUAGCCGGUUCAAAAACUAACACGAAGGCCUGCUCGGUCUCCCGCCUUCCUUCCACGUCCACGAAAAGGCACCCGUGUGAGCUUAUACCCCAUGAAACAGUCGAAAUUGACGUUCCACGCUGUGCAGGUUAGCAGGCUGAAUUUGCACCCGGCGGCCCUGGCCCUUGGCACCCUUCAGCGUACCAACAAGGCCGGUUGCACCCCGCAGGCGUAGCUGAAGGUCGGUCCGGACUACCAUAUUAGCCAAGCGCGUACUACGGUUGGAGCAGCCGCCGUUACAGAAGGGAUUCCUCUGUAGGGUUCGUCUUCGGAGUCAUUGACGUAUGGUCCAGCUCCAUGUGCCAGUGAUCCAACUACAUUGACCAGUACUUCGGUUACGGAACAAGCUGAAUACCCAAUCGGUUAAAAAUCAAAUUGUUCAGUACUCUGUCUGAAAACACUGCCCACAUGCAGGCGUGUUCACUUCUGUCACCAAGUCAUACUGCAAAGUCUGCAAUACUAAUACUGCAUCAAUGUCUACCGUCACCUUAUCUUUUUUUUAGCCGUGGGGCCCGUGACAUUUUUAGGCUGCCCGGUAUCAACAAAAGACCGGGGAUAUCCCAGUGGACACUAGUGGCCGGCAGAAAGCGGCAGGUUUAAGACCACUUGGGUCUCGGCUUGCCUCCGGUUACUGCAAUUAGAUCCUCAUCUCCCGGCUCCCGCGUACUGAAACUUUGCUUACCGGCACCCCUGCUCUUGUCCCCAGCCAACGCCGUCUGCCGCAGCUGUGAAGUUGUCUCUGCCGGCGGCUGUCUUCCUACCCAUGGCCGUGUCCGGCGAGAAGCGGCCUCCGCCGCCGGCCCCUGCCUCCGGUGGUACAUGCUCUCUCCUUCUUUUUUCGUGUAUGCUCCAUAGUUCCAUGCCUUGUCCGGCGGUACCUGUUUCUGACUUGCUGAGUUACUGUUUCCUUUCUUUAUCUUGAUUCGUGAUUAGACUGGUGUUCGCUUGUGUCCGUGAUUAGAUGUGAUCUCUGAAUUUGUUCAUAGAUUAGUACUAAUCAAGACACAAGAUCACAUCUGGAUGCAAGCAUGAAGCCGGGAACUUGUUGCCCUUGGUUUUGUUUUUUCCCUUUUUAGAUAGCAGUUUUGACUCUUUGUUCGAUCUGAAUUGUAUGCAAAGUUGAUCAACUUUUCAUGCUCUUAGUAAUAGCUUGUAGCGCAAUAUACAUGUCCCUAUCCGUACAUUUUUUUUAAUAUUCAUUUGAUUCUUCCAAUUAAAAAAGGUAAAAAUUUAAGAAAGCAUCCUAUCUGUUUUUUGUUUCUAGAAGAACGUGAACGUAUGUAGUUGCAUUUUGUUUUAACAUUAUCUUAGUUACAGAGGUGCCUUCUAGAAUCCAGAUGACCCAAAGGAAGACACAUAUGGUCUUACGGAUAGUGAAGUGCUCUCUCUAUUGCUGAUAGUGAAAUGCUACUUUUUCUCAAUUUUUUGGGAAAAUUUGGCUUAUUUAGUCCUUUAAUGUGAAUAACAAGCAACGCGCCCAAAUAGUAAAGCAAUACCUCUAAGAGCAUAAGCAAUACCUCUAAGAGCAUAUCAUACCUCUAAGGGGAUACUAGGGGCUAAACUUUAGCCCUGUCAUAUCGGAUGUUCGGAUGCUAAUUAGGAGGACUAAACAUGAGCUAAUUAUAAAACUAAUUGCAGAACCAUGAACUAAUUCGCGAGAUAAAUCUAUUAAGUCUAAUUAAUCCAUCAUUAGUAACUAUUUGCUAAUGAUGGAUUAAUUAUGAAUUAAUUAGACUUAAUAGAUUCGUCUCGCGAAUUAGUCUCCAUCUGUGUAAUUUGUUUUGUAAUUAGCCUAUGUUUAAUACUAUGUCCUAAGAUUAUCUUGAUUUGGUCCAAUUUUUUCUUUCUAUAAAAACAGUAUAAACCGAUUACCGAAGAAUCUGAUCAAAGUAUUGUUCAAUCUAUGGAAAGACAGAAUUGACUCUGGAUGCGCGUGCGUUGAAGUUGACGCCAUUCUUAUUGUUCGGUUCGGAUUCCCGGACUAAACUUUAGUCCCUAUUACAUCGAAUAUUUAAAUACUAAUUAGAUGUAUUAAAUAUAGACUAUUUACAAAACUCAUUGCACAGAUGGAGGCUAAACAGCGAGACAAAUCUAUUAAGCUUAAUUAGUCCAUGAUUUGACAAUGUGUUGCUACAGUAAUCAUUUGCUAAAAAUGGAUUAAUUAGGCUUAAUAGAUUCGUCUCGCCGUUUAGCCUCCAUCUGUGUAAUUAGUUUUAUAAUUAUGUCAUAUUUAAUCCUUCUAAUUAGCCUCCAAACAUUCGAUGUGACUUGGACUAAACUUGAGCUCUAGGAUCCAAACACCAGAAACCAAGGACAACGCUCCCCAGUUUCUCACUGAAACUAGACUUUUGAGCACGACAUUGACAGCUUAAGCUGACAUAUUCUGUCAUCAAAGUCAAUUUUCUUCUUCGUGGGUGACAGGUGCAUCUUAUAGUUAAUUGUUAUUUGGGACAUCAGUCUUUAGCUGCUGUGGACCAUCGAUUCUCCUGAAUCCUGAUCGGACUUUACUAGUCUGCAAAUGGUCUGUGACAUUUUCAAUUCAGGGUGUUUGCUUAGGAUAUUUCAGAGACGUCUAUUUUGUCUGACGCCCCUUGAGGACCGCAGUAAGGGUUUGAAAUGGAUGUAAAAGGCGGCUAGAAGAGAUGUCGUGCACUUCAUACACAUGUUGAAAGAUUCCAUAUUUGAUUUAUGCCAAAAACUCAACUUCAGAGAAGUCUAACAUUUAUUCAGCAAAAUAAAUUGCAGACACGUUCAGACUAGUGCGUUGUUUCAGUCAUGCUAUGACACCGUAUCAGUGUAACGAACUAAUUUGUGCUCAUUUCACUCAAAGGGAUAGCGAGGAAGCUUAUGCUGGCACUGUUUGUGUCCUUGUCGGCGCUGUUGUACAAGCAGCUACAGCCGCCACCGCCGAAGAUCCCGGGCUCGCCGGGCGGUCCUCCGGUCACGGCAACCAGAACAAGGCUCAGUGACGGCAGGUACCUGGCCUACCUGGAAUCCGGCGUCCCGAAGGAGGA